This 71-nucleotide transfer RNA is filed under the name Paenibacillus roseus. It matches the Rfam family "tRNA". Rfam says of the family: Transfer RNA (tRNA) molecules are approximately 80 nucleotides in length. Their secondary structure includes four short double-helical elements and three loops (D, anti-codon, and T loops). Lineage: Bacteria; Bacillati; Bacillota; Bacilli; Caryophanales; Paenibacillaceae. The record is from Rfam by way of RNAcentral.
ACGCUUUUAGUUUAGUGGUAAAACAAAGGUCUCCAAAACCUAAGAGGUUGGUUCGAUUCCAACAGAGCGUG